Perognathus longimembris pacificus (Pacific pocket mouse) is the source of this 605-nucleotide long non-coding RNA. RefSeq lists it as uncharacterized. The record is from RefSeq and is a predicted model, not a curated record. The transcript is spliced from 3 exons. NCBI's taxonomy places the organism in Eukaryota, Metazoa, Chordata, Mammalia, Rodentia, Heteromyidae.
UCUCACGCAGCUCAGCUUCCCAUCCUCUAGGAGCAUUUUGUUUGUUUGGCUCUUCAAUACAACUGACUUCUUAGAAGACCCGUCCUUCCCAGGGAAUUCACUAAUCAAGAUUUCUAUGAAUGCUGAAUCCACUGAUGACAUCUCAGACAUUAUUGAGAGGAUGCGUUCUGAAGCACUAACGGUUCUCAGUGGAAUCCACUGGCUUCUGGUAAGAGGACAUCUAAGGAGAGUGAUGGGAUGCCACCUGAUGGAAAUGUCUAUGCUUUUUGACUGAGAAAAUGAUGUAUUUACUGCAUACAAAGAGUGAGGUUUAUCUUUCUCUCUGCUUGAAAUACAAGUCUACCACCAGCUUACACUAAAAGCAAAAUUUUGAGAAGUUGGCUGAACUUUCUCCUGAUCUCAUGAUGCAGAGUUUGAGCUUAUACUACUACUCCAAACAUGGCCAUCUGUUGUGGGAAAUCAGUGUGGUUUCAAAUAAGUCCUUUUGAAGCAUGGGAAUCCAGUCAAGGAGACAGAAGAGACCACGACAAAACAUGUAGCUGUGGUAGCCAAAGAGCACUAAGAAAAACAGCUCAACCUGCCUGAGGGAAGAUUUUUGUUAAAGA